UUUUCGGAUGGAAUCAAUGAAUCUUAGUGGCGGACGGGUGAGUAACGUGUGGGCAACCUGCCCUUUACAGGGGAAUAAUCAUUGGAAACGAUGACUAAUACCGCAUGUCAACACGAGGAGGCAUCUUCUUGUGAGAAAAGGAGAAAUCCGGUAAGGGAUGGGCCCGCAUCUGAUUAGCUAGUUGGUGAGAUAAUAGCCCACCAAGGCGACGAUCAGUAGCCGACCUGAGAGGGUGAUCGGCCACAUUGGGACUGAGACACGGCCCAAACUCC
This 272-nucleotide ribosomal RNA is filed under the name uncultured Bacillota bacterium. RNAcentral's name for it is "uncultured Firmicutes bacterium partial 16S ribosomal RNA". It matches the Rfam family "Bacterial small subunit ribosomal RNA", at positions 74 to 339 of the family's 1533-position model. The record is from RNAcentral. Lineage: Bacteria; Bacillati; Bacillota.